CUUAAUGUAGUUUAAUGGCAGAACGACUAGCAGUGAACUAGUAAGAGGAAGGGUUCAAAUCCCCCCAUCAAUU
This 73-nucleotide transfer RNA is filed under the name Candidatus Nitrosocosmicus arcticus. Its description in RNAcentral is "tRNA-His". It matches the Rfam family "tRNA". Rfam says of the family: Transfer RNA (tRNA) molecules are approximately 80 nucleotides in length. Lineage: Archaea; Thermoproteati; Nitrososphaerota; Nitrososphaeria; Nitrososphaerales; Nitrososphaeraceae. The record is from RNAcentral.